RNAcentral lists this ribosomal RNA (508 nucleotides) under uncultured bacterium. Its description in RNAcentral is "partial 16S ribosomal RNA". The record is from RNAcentral.
GGAGUUAGCCGGUGCUUCUUCUGUGAGUGAUGUCCUUCCUGCCGGUUAUUGACCCGCAGGCCUUCUUCCUCACUGAAAGUGCUUUACAACCCGAAGGCCUUCUUCACACACGCGGCAUGGCUGGAUCAGGGUUGCCCCCAUUGUCCAAUAUUCCCCACUGCUGCCUCCCGUAGGAGUCUGGGCCGUGUCUCAGUCCCAGUGUGGCUGAUCAUCCUCUCAGACCAGCUACGGAUCGUCGCCUUGGUGAGCCGUUACCUCACCAACCAGCUAAUCCGACAUAGGCUCAUCCGAUAGCGCGAGUCCCGAAGGUCCCCCGCUUUCCCCCGUAGGGCGUAUGCGGUAUUAGCCUGGGUUUCCCCACGGUUAUCCCCCACUACCGGGCAGAUUCCUAUGCAUUACUCACCCGUCCGCCGCUCGCCACCAGGGAGCAAGCUCCCCGUGCUGCCGCUCGACUUGCAUGUGUUAGGCCUGCCGCCAGCGUUCAAUCUGAGCCAGAAUCGAACCCUGA